UACGUAGGGGGCAAGCGUUGUCCGGAUUCAUUGGGCGUAAAGGGUGCGUAGGCGGCGCGGUAAGUCGGGUGUGAAAUCUCGGGGCUUAACUCCGAAACUGCAUUCGAUACUGCCGUGCUUGAGGACUGGAGAGGAGACUGGAAUUUACGGUGUAGCGGUGAAAUGCGUAGAUAUCGUAAGGAAGACCAGUGGCGAAGGCGGGUCUCUGGACAGUUCCUGACGCUGAGGCACGAAGGUCAGGGGAGCAAACGGG
Molecule: ribosomal RNA, 253 nt
Filed under: uncultured bacterium
Lineage: Bacteria
Description: partial 16S ribosomal RNA
Rfam family: Bacterial small subunit ribosomal RNA
Source: RNAcentral